GCGAGGUGGGGGUGCUAUACAUGCGUCGAGCGGACAGAAGGGAGCUUGCUCCCGGAUGUUAGCGGCGGACGGGUGAGUAACACGUGGGUAACCUGCCUGUAAGACUGGGAUAACUCCGGGAAACCGGAGCUAAUACCGGAUAGUUCCUUGAACCGCAUGGUUCAAGGAUGAAAGACGGUUUCGGCUGUCACUUACAGAUGGACCCGCGGCGCAUUAGCUAGUUGGUGAGGUAACGGCUCACCAAGGCGACGAGCGUAGCCGACCUGAGAGGGUGAUCGGCCACACUGGGACUGAGACACGGCCCAGACUCCUACGGGAGGCAGCAGUAGGGAAUCUUCCGCAAUGGACGAAAGUCUGACGGAGCAACGCCGCGUGAGUGAUGAAGGUUUUCGGAUCGUAAAGCUCUGUUGUUAGGGAAGAACAAGUGCAAGAGUAACUGCUUGCACCUUGACGGUACCUAACCAGAAAGCCACGGCUAACUACGUGCCAGCAGCCGCGGUAAUACGUAGGUGGCAAGCGUUGUCCGGAAUUAUUGGGCGUAAAGGGCUCGCAGGCGGUUUCUUAAGUCUGAUGUGAAAGCCCCCGGCUCAACCGGGGAGGGUCAUUGGAAACUGGGAAACUUGAGUGCAGAAGAGGAGAGUGGAAUUCCACGUGUAGCGGUGAAAUGCGUAGAGAUGUGGAGGAACACCAGUGGCGAAGGCGACUCUCUGGUCUGUAACUGACGCUGAGGAGCGAAAGCGUGGGGAGCGAACAGGAUUAGAUACCCUGGUAGUCCACGCCGUAAACGAUGAGUGCUAAGUGUUAGGGGGUUUCCGCCCCUUAGUGCUGCAGCUAACGCAUUAAGCACUCCGCCUGGGGAGUACGGUCGCAAGACUGAAACUCAAAGGAAUUGACGGGGGCCCGCACAAGCGGUGGAGCAUGUGGUUUAAUUCGAA
This 935-nucleotide ribosomal RNA is filed under the name Bacillus pumilus. Its description in RNAcentral is "bacterial SSU rRNA". It matches the Rfam family "Bacterial small subunit ribosomal RNA", at positions 35 to 955 of the family's 1533-position model. The record is from RNAcentral. Lineage: Bacteria; Bacillati; Bacillota; Bacilli; Caryophanales; Bacillaceae.